UAUUUAUGCCCAAUAGGUUGAAUUUUAUAUUUUCAAUUUCAUUCAUGUAGACAUCAAUAUCUGGACGACAUAAACUACAUAAUACAUAGCUUAUGCAAAAUUACUAUUCUCAACUAUUUGGGGGGAAAGAAAGGUCAUUUGAGGGGGGGGGGGGGGGGGGGGGAGAAACUGAUUUUAAGAGAAUCUGUUGUGAUAUAUUGGCGAAUGAAGUAACUUGAUUUCAAGAGAACUUGAUGUAAAAUGUAAGCGCAUCUGAAUGCACAAGCCUCGGAGGAAAAGAAACAGUGCCAGAAUCUCAGCGCCUAAUUAAUUCUUAUUGGCAACGUACAGCGCUGUAUGCACCAUCGAUGAUUAUGUGCAUCAGUGACUCUAAUUUGUUGCCGUCUCAUUUCCAUUUUCCACAGUAAUUUAUCAAAGUAGAAAAUAAAAACUGAGAAACAUAAAGAAUUAAAAUGCUCAAAGAGUAAUGACCAAGCCAGAAAUCAACAAGCUCAGAAGCUUUUAUAGUUUGAUUUUGUAUAAAUUUAAUCGAAACAGAAAAAUGAAAAAGAUCCGGAGCAAAUUAAAACGAGAUCUCAGAAAUCAGAAGAUGAAAAAGUACACAUAUGAUGCUGAGGUUGGUCAGUGAUCACCAGCCGCUCCUGUAAAAUUCCUACCAUACAAUAUGGACGGUAUAGCCACAAAUAUAUAGUGAUAGAAGGGACGGCAGAAGAACUCACAAGAAAACCCUAAUUUAGAUACAAUUACUGUCAUGCCCUCAAGUAGUUGGAAAAAUCCGGG
Molecule: long non-coding RNA, 780 nt
Filed under: Olea europaea subsp. europaea
Lineage: Eukaryota; Viridiplantae; Streptophyta; Magnoliopsida; Lamiales; Oleaceae
Source: RNAcentral